GCCGGGGUGGCGGAAUUGGCAGACGCGCGGGACUCAAAAUCCCGUGCCCUGAGAAGGGCGUGUGGGUUCGACUCCCACCCUCGGCACCA
This 89-nucleotide transfer RNA is filed under the name Candidatus Bipolaricaulis sibiricus. RNAcentral describes it as "tRNA-Leu". It matches the Rfam family "tRNA". Rfam says of the family: Transfer RNA (tRNA) molecules are approximately 80 nucleotides in length. Lineage: Bacteria; Candidatus Bipolaricaulota; Bipolaricaulia (SeqCode); Bipolaricaulales (SeqCode); Candidatus Bipolaricaulaceae. The record is from RNAcentral.